RNAcentral lists this ribosomal RNA (1462 nucleotides) under Escherichia coli. Its description in RNAcentral is "partial 23S ribosomal RNA". It matches the Rfam family "Bacterial large subunit ribosomal RNA", at positions 1292 to 2739 of the family's 2925-position model. The record is from RNAcentral. Lineage: Bacteria; Pseudomonadati; Pseudomonadota; Gammaproteobacteria; Enterobacterales; Enterobacteriaceae.
GAAUGCUGACAUAAGUAACGAUAAAGCGGGUGAAAAGCCCGCUCGCCGGAAGACCAAGGGUUCCUGUCCAACGUUAAUCGGGGCAGGGUGAGUCGACCCCUAAGGCGAGGCCGAAAGGCGUAGUCGAUGGGAAACAGGUUAAUAUUCCUGUACUUGGUGUUACUGCGAAGGGGGGACGGAGAAGGCUAUGUUGGCCGGGCGACGGUUGUCCCGGUUUAAGCGUGUAGGCUGGUUUUCCAGGCAAAUCCGGAAAAUCAAGGCUGAGGCGUGAUGACGAGGCACUACGGUGCUGAAGCAACAAAUGCCCUGCUUCCAGGAAAAGCCUCUAAGCAUCAGGUAACAUCAAAUCGUACCCCAAACCGACACAGGUGGUCAGGUAGAGAAUACCAAGGCGCUUGAGAGAACUCGGGUGAAGGAACUAGGCAAAAUGGUGCCGUAACUUCGGGAGAAGGCACGCUGAUAUGUAGGUGAAGCGACUUGCUCGUGGAGCUGAAAUCAGUCGAAGAUACCAGCUGGCUGCAACUGUUUAUUAAAAACACAGCACUGUGCAAACACGAAAGUGGACGUAUACGGUGUGACGCCUGCCCGGUGCCGGAAGGUUAAUUGAUGGGGUUAGCGCAAGCGAAGCUCUUGAUCGAAGCCCCGGUAAACGGCGGCCGUAACUAUAACGGUCCUAAGGUAGCGAAAUUCCUUGUCGGGUAAGUUCCGACCUGCACGAAUGGCGUAAUGAUGGCCAGGCUGUCUCCACCCGAGACUCAGUGAAAUUGAACUCGCUGUGAAGAUGCAGUGUACCCGCGGCAAGACGGAAAGACCCCGUGAACCUUUACUAUAGCUUGACACUGAACAUUGAGCCUUGAUGUGUAGGAUAGGUGGGAGGCUUUGAAGUGUGGACGCCAGUCUGCAUGGAGCCGACCUUGAAAUACCACCCUUUAAUGUUUGAUGUUCUAACGUUGGCCCCUGAUCGGGGUUGCGGACAGUGUCUGGUGGGUAGUUUGACUGGGGCGGUCUCCUCCUAAAGAGUAACGGAGGAGCACGAAGGUUGGCUAAUCCUGGUCGGACAUCAGGAGGUUAGUGCAAUGGCAUAAGCCAGCUUGACUGCGAGCGUGACGGCGCGAGCAGGUGCGAAAGCAGGUCAUAGUGAUCCGGUGGUUCUGAAUGGAAGGGCCAUCGCUCAACGGAUAAAAGGUACUCCGGGGAUAACAGGCUGAUACCGCCCAAGAGUUCAUAUCGACGGCGGUGUUUGGCACCUCGAUGUCGGCUCAUCACAUCCUGGGGCUGAAGUAGGUCCCAAGGGUAUGGCUGUUCGCCAUUUAAAGUGGUACGCGAGCUGGGUUUAGAACGUCGUGAGACAGUUCGGUCCCUAUCUGCCGUGGGCGCUGGAGAACUGAGGGGGGCUGCUCCUAGUACGAGAGGACCGGAGUGGACGCAUCACUGGUGUUCGGGUUGUCAUGCCAAUGGCACU